AGAAAGCUAGUCUAACCAAGACAGUUGAUUUCGGCUCAACAGAUUACAGUCAACACCCUGUAGCUUUCUU
This 70-nucleotide transfer RNA is filed under the name Dicaeum cruentatum. Its description in RNAcentral is "tRNA-Arg". The record is from RNAcentral. Lineage: Eukaryota; Metazoa; Chordata; Aves; Passeriformes; Dicaeidae.